AUUGAACGCUGGCGGCAGGCUUAACACAUGCAAGUCGAACGAUGAGUCUCUAGCUUGCUAGAGAUGAUUAGUGGCGGACGGGUGAGUAACAUUUAGGAAUCUACCUAGUAGUGGGGGAUAGCUCGGGGAAACUCGAAUUAAUACCGCAUACGACCUACGGGUGAAAGGGGGCGCAAGCUCUUGCUAUUAGAUGAGCCUAAAUCAGAUUAGCUAGUUGGUGGGGUAAAGGCCCACCAAGGCGACGAUCUGUAACUGGUCUGAGAGGAUGAUCAGUCACACCGGAACUGAGACACGGUCCGGACUCCUACGGGAGGCAGCAGUGGGGAAUAUUGGACAAUGGGGGCAACCCUGAUCCAGCCAUGCCGCGUGUGUGAAGAAGGCCUUUUGGUUGUAAAGCACUUUAAGCAGGGAGGAGAGGCUAAUGGCUAAUACCCAUUAGAUUAGACGUUACCUGCAGAAUAAGCACCGGCUAACUCUGUG
Molecule: ribosomal RNA, 480 nt
Filed under: uncultured bacterium
Lineage: Bacteria
Description: partial 16S ribosomal RNA
Rfam family: Bacterial small subunit ribosomal RNA
Source: RNAcentral